RNAcentral lists this long non-coding RNA (2815 nucleotides) under Hordeum vulgare. Its description in RNAcentral is "long non-coding RNA (HVUL_LNC007421)". The record is from RNAcentral. Lineage: Eukaryota; Viridiplantae; Streptophyta; Magnoliopsida; Poales; Poaceae.
GCGCCAUUCCAAAGGAACCACCGGAGCACUAGUUCGUCUGGCCUCCUCCUCGCGCAGCCCCUCGGAGGCAAUAGAGCCACCGAAGAAGAGCAGUCGCCGCCUCCCCUUGCCACUCCGGCAGUAGCAGGAGCAGGAGCUCCCGCAGCCGCGCACGCACUCGUGGAACUGCUCGUCCCUGUGCCAUCUCUCAUUCGCCUUGCGGGGCACACCCGGGGACCUCCUCGCCGGACCAACAAGACUGUUCCCUUCAUCUCCAUCCUCCCCCGAUCCCCUUUGUUUCCGUCCUUAACACCAAGCUCUCUCUCUCUAUCUCUGCAUGGAUAGGAGGAUGCCUAGCUUUCUUCGGUCGCCGUUCGAGACACCAUCAUCGUCGAUCUACGUGUACCUCCAGGACCCGCCCCAACACUGCUGCAUCCUCUUCUUCCACCCAGGAAGUUCGUGUCUUGCCCUCUACCUCCCUUCCACGCUCCUCCCCUCUCUAAUCCGGCCAUGAUCGCCAUGCACAGGCACCUCGAAGAUUGCCCCGUCGCGCUGGAGCUUGCUUGCCGCCGUGCCACAAGGCUGUCUCGCCUCGGAUCCAUCGAGAUCGGCAUCCUCUCCACCGAAUCGGGCUUCCCUCGCCCGUUCUCUGCCUCCUCUCGAUCCCGCGUCGACCAAGACCCCGGCCCUGACCUCCCCCACCGUUCCCAACAUUGCCAUGGCAGCGGUCUCUAUAUUCCCGAUAUGAGCACCUCCCUUCGUAAGUGAAUUUCGUUUUGUACUAGAUUCAUUCAGCACAUGAAGUUAAUUAGUGUAGCCAUUGCUUUACUGCACCAAAACAUAGCUAGCCGAGUUGGCUAACAAAGCCAGCAUCGCCGCAAGAGGUCCUAGGUUCGAGACCAAAGUUACAGCGCCAACGACACGUGGGACCCAGCCCCCCUAGUUGACCUUUCUACAUUGACUAUGUUAAUACCCCUAUGCCCACUUGCCAAAGAUAGUGGCUAUCACAAUCGGUGUCUAUUUGUUUCUUUUUUCAGUUUAAAACGGCCCAAUUUUAUAAAAUAAUUUAGAGUUUUGUAAGAUUCACGUUUCUUUUUUCAAUUUAAAACGGCACAAUUUUACAAAAUAAUUUAGAGUUUUGUAAAAUUCAUGUAAAUUCAACCGUGCAUCAUAUGAAAGACCUGCUAUGUAUGAAUUUUGCUUAGAAUUAUGUCUAGUUUAACAAUUUCCAACUUUCAUUUGUGUUUCAAAUAUUUAAUAAGCUGUUUUCAUUUAAUUUGCAUAAAUGCCAUGUCAAAACGAUUUAAUUCAUAUCUAAUUAACUAUGCCAUGCCAACGACACGUGGGACCCGGCACCCUAGUUGACCUUUCUAUAUUUACUAUGUUAACACCCCUAUGCUCACUUGUCAAUGAUAGUGGCUAUCACAGUCGGUGUCUAUUUGUUUCUUUUUUCAAUUUAAAACUGUCCAAUUUUACAAAAUAAUUUAGAGUUUUGUAAAAUUCAUGUAAAUUCAACCGUUCAUCAUAUGAAGACAUGCUAUGUAUGAAUUUUGCUCAGAAUUGUGUCUAGUUUAACAAUUUCCAACUUUCAUCUGUGUUUAAAAUAUUUAAUAAGUUGUUUUCAUGUAAUUUGCAUAAAUGCCAUGUCAAAACGAUUUAAUUCAUAACUAAUUAACUAUAGCCCCGAUUAAAAUGAUCCACAUAUUUAACUUGAUUCAUAAAAUGUGUAGAAUAACAUUGUGAUAUUUACUUUGUUGUUUAACUACUCUAAAAUUGUGUUAUAGGUAGAAUAAUACCGAAACCUUAAUUUGCAUAUGGCGACGUUCCGAGAUCGUGAUUUGUUGUUCCGGCCUCAUUUGAACUUGCAUAGAAUUUCAUGUGGUUUCAUAAUAUCCUGUUGCAUCCAUGCUUUAACAUGCUUGCGGCUGUCAUUUGCAUUCAUUUUGCAUUCAUGGCAUAUUAUUUUGUGAUGAUCAUAUCUUUUAGACCGUAGCUCCAUUUUAGAUGAUCUAUAUAUGUAAAUCGAUUAGAAUAACAUGUAGAAUCACAUGGUAUACUUUAUUUUGCUGUUUAAGAAUAUAUAAAAUGUGUUUAGUUUAGAUCUGAAGCAAUUUCUAAAUUUACAUAUGGGGUCACUUCGGAAAUACUAUAAGUUGCUUCCGACCUCAUUUAAAAUGCCUAGGUAGAUAGUUAAAUAUACUUCACCUCUUGCCAUGUUAAAAACAUUUAACAUUGUUGAGUACCUAACGGGAAUGAAUUAAGUAAUUUAAAUAUGGAGUUUCGUCCAUAUGCAACUGGCUGCAUAUUGAGCUUCAUUUAAUGUGUAAUGGUUGGUUGUUGUGCCUUGCCAUACCAUGCAUAAGUAAUUGAACAUGCAUCAUUUUAUUUGUGCAUCAUGUUAUGCAAAAGUGGUGGUGUUUAUCGUGUAUUGGUCGUUGUUUCCAGAUUGUUUCCUCUCGAUAGAGUCCCAAACCGCUUCAGAGUGUAAGCAUUUGUUCGACUACGUCGGUUCGUCUACUUCACAGAUUCGUUCUUCUUCCACGCGCGAUCAUAGGCAAGAUGAUCAUUUACCUACAUACCACUACGAUCAUUGCUAUGCUAGCUGUCUCAUUUAUAUCGCUAUGUCUCGCUGCCUAUCACCUGUUAUGUCAAGCCUCCCAACAUUGCUAUGAAAAGUUUCUAACCCCUUCACAUCCCAGCAAACCUCUAUCUGGUUAUGUUAUCGUUUGCUCAACCUUCUUAUAGCGUUGCUAGUUGCAGGUGUAGUUUCUUCCAUGUGACAACAUGGGUUCCUUUUAUAUCACGAUAUUAUUGCUACUUAAUUUAAUGAACCUAU